This 620-nucleotide ribosomal RNA is filed under the name Fictibacillus phosphorivorans. Its description in RNAcentral is "bacterial SSU rRNA". It matches the Rfam family "Bacterial small subunit ribosomal RNA", at positions 79 to 684 of the family's 1533-position model. RNAcentral also lists the same sequence under 1 other name. The record is from RNAcentral. Lineage: Bacteria; Bacillati; Bacillota; Bacilli; Caryophanales; Fictibacillaceae.
CUUGCUCCUCUGAUUUAGCGGCGGACGGGUGAGUAACACGUGGGUAAUCUGCCUGUAAGACGGGGAUAACUCCGGGAAACCGGGGCUAAUACCGGAUAACAAGAGAAGAAGCAUUUCUUCUUUUUGAAAGUCGGUUUCGGCUGACACUUACAGAUGAGCCCGCGGCGCAUUAGCUAGUUGGUGAGGUAACGGCUCACCAAGGCGACGAUGCGUAGCCGACCUGAGAGGGUGAUCGGCCACACUGGGACUGAGACACGGCCCAGACUCCUACGGGAGGCAGCAGUAGGGAAUCUUCGGCAAUGGGCGAAAGCCUGACCGAGCAACGCCGCGUGAGCGAUGAAGGCCUUCGGGUCGUAAAGCUCUGUUGUUAGAGAAGAACAAGUACGAGAGUAACUGCUCGUACCUUGACGGUACCUAACCAGAAAGCCACGGCUAACUACGUGCCAGCAGCCGCGGUAAUACGUAGGUGGCAAGCGUUAUCCGGAAUUAUUGGGCGUAAAGCGCGCGCAGGCGGUCUCUUAAGUCUGAUGUGAAAGCCCACGGCUCAACCGUGGAGGGUCAUUGGAAACUGGGAGACUUGAGUGCAGGAGAGAAAAGUGGAAUUCCACGUGUAGCGGUGA